GAUGAACGCUGGCGGCGUGCCUAAUACAUGCAAGUCGAGCGAACAGACGAGGAGCUUGCUCCUCUGACGUUAGCGGCGGACGGGUGAGUAACACGUGGAUAACCUACCUAUAAGACUGGGAUAACUUCGGGAAACCGGAGCUAAUACCGGAUAAUAUAUUGAACCGCAUGGUUCAAUAGUGAAAGACGGUUUUGCUGUCACUUAUAGAUGGAUCCGCGCCGCAUUAGCUAGUUGGUAAGGUAACGGCUUACCAAGGCAACGAUGCGUAGCCGACGUGAGAGGGUGAUCGGCCACACUGGAACUGAGACACGGUCCAGAGUCCUACGGGAGGCAGCAGUAGGGAAUCUUCCGCAAUAGGCGAAAGCCUGACGGAGCAACGCCGCGUGAGUGAUGAAGGUCUUCGGAUCGUAAAACUCUGUUAUUAGGGAAGAACAAAUGUGUAAGUAACUAUGCACGUCUUGACGGUACCUAAUCAGAAAGCCACGGCUAACUACGUG
This 497-nucleotide ribosomal RNA is filed under the name uncultured bacterium. Its description in RNAcentral is "partial 16S ribosomal RNA". It matches the Rfam family "Bacterial small subunit ribosomal RNA", at positions 28 to 507 of the family's 1533-position model. The record is from RNAcentral.